This 68-nucleotide transfer RNA is filed under the name Papio hamadryas hamadryas. RNAcentral describes it as "tRNA-Ser". It matches the Rfam family "tRNA". From Rfam's summary of the family: Transfer RNA (tRNA) molecules are approximately 80 nucleotides in length. The record is from RNAcentral. Lineage: Eukaryota; Metazoa; Chordata; Mammalia; Primates; Cercopithecidae.
GAAUAAGUUAUAGGGGCUAUAAGGCUGGCUUGAAACCAGUUUUAGGGGGUUCGACUCCCUCCUUUUUC